GCGGCUGGAUCGUAGCGUCCCGCUAGAUCGAUCCCUUGUUGCAGCUCCGCACGUCAGCUUCCCAAGCUGAACGCGCGGGUUCGAUUCCCGCUACCCGCUCCA
This 102-nucleotide transfer RNA is filed under the name Aminobacter aganoensis. Its description in RNAcentral is "tRNA-Gly". The record is from RNAcentral. Lineage: Bacteria; Pseudomonadati; Pseudomonadota; Alphaproteobacteria; Hyphomicrobiales; Phyllobacteriaceae.